This 374-nucleotide ribosomal RNA is filed under the name uncultured eukaryote. Its description in RNAcentral is "partial 18S ribosomal RNA". It matches the Rfam family "Eukaryotic small subunit ribosomal RNA", at positions 592 to 976 of the family's 1831-position model. The record is from RNAcentral.
CAACAGCGUAUAUUUAAGUUGUUGCAGUUAAAAAGCUCGUAGUUGGAUUUCUGCUGAUCGCUGUCGGUCUGCCGUCAGGUGUGUACUGGCAGUGUUUGGCAUCUAUUCGAGAUUGGGUGUCCACUUGAUUGUGUGCACUCGAUGUCGGAGCUAAUACUUUGAGAAAAUUAGAGUGUUCCACGCAGGCGCGUGCCUUGAAUACUGCAGCAUGGGAUAUUGGAAGGCCGAUUGAGCUUUCUUGUUGGUUCUCGGUUUGAUCGGAAUGAUUAAUAGGGAUAGUUGGGGGCAUUCGUAUUCAACUGUCAGAGGUGAAAUUCUUGGAUUUGUUGAAGACGGACUACUGCGAAAGCAUCUGCCAUGGAUGUUCUCAUUGA